This 492-nucleotide ribosomal RNA is filed under the name Salmonella enterica. RNAcentral describes it as "partial 23S ribosomal RNA". It matches the Rfam family "Bacterial large subunit ribosomal RNA", at positions 1182 to 1649 of the family's 2925-position model. RNAcentral also lists the same sequence under 5 other names. Lineage: Bacteria; Pseudomonadati; Pseudomonadota; Gammaproteobacteria; Enterobacterales; Enterobacteriaceae. The record is from RNAcentral.
ACGAUUGACGGAGCGGAGCGACGUCAAAGCGUUUUACAACGUUGAGUUGGCUUAGGGAUACGUUCGUUGGGUAGGGGAGCGUUCUGUAAGCCUGCGAAGGUGUGCUGUGAGGCAUGCUGGAGGUAUCAGAAGUGCGAAUGCUGACAUAAGUAACGAUAAAGCGGGUGAAAAGCCCGCUCGCCGGAAGACCAAGGGUUCCUGUCCAACGUUAAUCGGGGCAGGGUGAGUCGACCCCUAAGGCGAGGCCGAAAGGCGUAGUCGAUGGGAAACGGGUUAAUAUUCCCGUACUUGGUGUUACUGCGAAGGGGGGACGGAGAAGGCUAUGUUGGCCGGGCGACGGUUGUCCCGGUUUAAGCGUGUAGGUGUGUGUUCCAGGUAAAUCCGGUUCACUUUAACACUGAGGCGUGAUGACGAGGCACUACGGUGCUGAAGCAACAAAUGCCCUGCUUCCAGGAAAAGCCUCUAAGCAUCAGGUAACACGAAAUCGUACCC